UUUUAUGGAGAGUUUGAUCCUGGCUCAGGAUGAACGCUGGCGGCGUGCCUAAUACAUGCAAGUCGAGCGAACGGACGAGAAGCUUGCUUCUCUGAUGUUAGCGGCGGACGGGUGAGUAACACGUGGAUAACCUACCUAUAAGACUGGGAUAACUUCGGGAAACCGGAGCUAAUACCGGAUAAUAUUUUGAACCGCAUGGUUCAAAAGUGAAAGACGGUCUUGCUGUCACUUAUAGAUGGAUCCGCGCUGCAUUAGCUAGUUGGUAAGGUAACGGCUUACCAAGGCAACGAUGCAUAGCCGACCUGAGAGGGUGAUCGGCCACACUGGAACUGAGACACGGUCCAGACUCCUACGGGAGGCAGCAGUAGGGAAUCUUCCGCAAUGGGCGAAAGCCUGACGGAGCAACGCCGCGUGAGUGAUGAAGGUCUU
This 429-nucleotide ribosomal RNA is filed under the name Staphylococcus aureus. RNAcentral describes it as "bacterial SSU rRNA". It matches the Rfam family "Bacterial small subunit ribosomal RNA", at positions 1 to 418 of the family's 1533-position model. The record is from RNAcentral. Lineage: Bacteria; Bacillati; Bacillota; Bacilli; Caryophanales; Staphylococcaceae.